Molecule: long non-coding RNA, 3404 nt
Filed under: Homo sapiens (human)
Lineage: Eukaryota; Metazoa; Chordata; Mammalia; Primates; Hominidae
Description: non-protein coding lnc-STAU1-5:1
Source: RNAcentral
CUCAGUACAUGGAUAGCUGGCUGCUUUUGCCAUCUGAGAGGCUGUACUCCCUUUUACGCCUCGUAGGUAAGUUCUGCAGCUUCCCUGGUCCUUGGUUUCCUCGUCUGUGACAUGAGGGAGGGAAAGAGAGGGAACAAAAGCUCCCACCUCACAGGACCACUGUGUGGUGAGGCUUUGGGGUUUGCAUGAUGCCGGGCACACAUCCUAAGUGCCCAGGGAUUGUUGGCUGCUGUCGCUGUUACUAUUAUUAUCUUUAUUCUCACUGAUAAGUCAAGUGGUAAAUAGAGUGACCAACUGCCCCAGUUUGCUUAGGACUGUUCUGGUUUUAAAACUAAAAGUCCCACAUCUCAGGAAACCCCUCAGACCUCAGUAAACUGGGGCUGUUGGUCGCCCUACUGAUAAGGGGCUUAUCAAUAAAUCCAGGCCCUUAAUGUCAGCUCAGCCUGCAUUUGAAUUAGCCCUGCCACUUCCCAGCGGUGUGACCUUGAGCAGGCUAUUUAGGCUCUCUGUGCCUCAGUUUUCCACUUGUAAAACGUGGGGUGAUUAUAGUAGCUACCUUAAGGGUUGUAGUGAAGUUUAAAUGAGUGUAAAGUUUGGUGAAAUAGCUUUAUUCAAAUUCUCCAGAGUCCCACAUGGACAGGAGAGAAGCUGAGACUGUUUUGAAGCUCCUUAGGCUCUCCCCUCCGCCACAGCUGGCCCACAAGUCAGGCUGGCUCUGUCCUCUACCACAUCAAAGUCCCCCAAGGCCCCCUUUAUGGCAGGGGUCUGCUGGCCCCUGGCGCAGAGGCAGAUUAGAGUGAGAUCCUAUCUGGAUGGGUGGAGGUGCCCAGCCAGGGAGAGGUACUGGUGGCCACUGAUAAGCAGGGCCCUUGUGCCCGCAGCCCCUGCCCCCUCACCCAGGAGAACACGGGUACUUUCUUCUUGGGUUUCAACCCAGCUGGCCCCUCUGCCCUGUUGUGGGGGGACAGAGGCCCGCUUGCCUGCAGGACAACCUCUCUGUACCCCAUUUUCCACCUAUCUAAAAUGGGGCUGGAAAACCCUUACCCAUGGGGUACACAGGAAGCCAAGGCCCCUCCAGUCUUUGGCUGUAUUAUUAACAAAAUGCAUGUAGGAUAAGACUGGGGCCCCAGAGGGUGGCUUUUGAAAUACUUAAGUUUGAACCAGCUAACGCUUUUAGCACAUGCAGUCUCCAGGGUGAUAGACCGCGCUGCUCGGGGCAGGGCCACAGGGUUUAUAGGAGUUGCUCUUCGUUUUAGGAUGCCACUGACAGUGUGCUUGGGUGGACACAGGCUUAGAGGGAUGUUUCGAACGUUUUCCUCUUCCAGGCCUGUCUGCAUGUCCUUGUGGUGGGCAGUGGGGAUCUCACUUGGGGACUGUGAGGGGCUUCCAUGCAGCAAGCUCCUGCCACCCUCAACCAAGUGUAUAUGAGAGUCUUGAGAAUUAAAUGAAAGAAAAUGUGUGGGCACUCAAGAAAUGAUAGCUGUUAUAUUUUAAAUUAAAAUGCUAUUUAUUCAGGGCCAGGUGGGGUGGCUCAUGCCUGUAAUUUCAGCACUCUGGGAGGCUGAGGUGGGCGGAUCACUUGAUCAGGAGUUCAAGACCAGUCUGGCCAACGUGGUGAAACCCCGUCUCUACUAAAAAUACAAAAAUUAGCUGUGGGUGGUGGCGCGUGCCUGUAAUCUCAGCUAUUCAGGAGAAUUGCUUGAACUCGGGAGGUGGAGGUUUCAGUGAGCCGAGAUCUCGCCAUUGCACUGGAGCCUAGGCGACAGAGCGAGACUCUGUCUCAAAAAGAAAAAAGUUAUUUAAUUCAUAUUUAGAGAUUUAAGUCAGGGUCUUGCAUAGAUCUGAAGCGAUUCCAAUUUAAUCCCAGCAGGAGGGUCAGAUACACAGUUCCUUCUAAAUUUAGUCAGGUGAAUAUAACACCAGGAGAUGAAUUUUGUUGAGCACCUACUGCAUGCCAAAGCUCCUCCACGUGUGCUCCAGGGACUUGGCAGUAUCACCGUGGGAGCUUGGGCUCACCUCACAUCCACCGCAGCAGAAUCUGCUUUUGACAAGGCCCCCAGCUGAUUGACAGGUACACUUCAGUUUGCAAGCGCAUGGGCUGGGAGGUGGGAAAGGACUUGUCAGAGUUUAAGUGCAGCGGGGAGGCUGGUGCUGGUGUGGAGGGAGGGAAGGCUGAGGAGGGUAAUGGGACAGAGCAUGCAGGGCCUUCCAGGAAGAGGUGAGGAGCAGGGAUUUCCUCCCAGUGUGGCAGCCUGCCGGGGAGGGCUUUAAGCAGAGCAGAAGAGUGGUCUGAUGGAUGAUUUAAAAAGGACCCUUAGGUGUGGGUAUGGAGGCUGGACCGUAGGAGCAGCAAGAUUGGUUAGGUAGCUGCCUCAGUGUCCAGUGAGGGAUGGUGGUGGCUUGGACCAGGAGGUGGAUGGAGAUAGAGCUGGGUUGGACUUGAAUUGGUAGUGGAGGAAUGUGGGUGAUAAAGUUUUUCAGUGGAGGAGGGGAAACUAGACCUUGACCCAUACAACCUGGAAGGCUUCCUGGAGGAGGUGGAGACUUUCAGGAUAGAUGCGGCAGACUUGAGGACAUUCCAGAGGUAGGAACCCCAUGGGCAAGGGCAAAAGUGAGUUCAUGCAAAAGGCAGGAGAUUGACUUACGUGACUUCUUCCCAACCCUUAAAGGUUACAGAUGAGCUCAGCGUCGUCCCUGGAAUUGCAAAGCUAGAGAAGAGAUUAAGAGUCAAAGGCUUUGGGCACCCCCUUGAAUGGGGACAAGAAGGCAGCUUAGGGAAAGUCACAGAUCCAGGCUGAGGAAUCUUGAGGGUCUGAGCACUGGCUCUGUCAGGACUGCAGGCCUGUCAUCGACUCUCCUGGGCCUCAGUGUUCUCAGGCAUCAGGUGGGGUUACAGCGGGGUGCAAAGUGGAUGUGCCGCUGGCCGGGAAAGUCGGGACAGAGCUGCCAUUGCAGGCCUGGCGCCCUGUGCCAGGGCCACGAGCAGCUCGCUUUGCCAGACUGUGCUUUCUGGGUGAGAACAGGGUUGUUUGAGGAAGGUGACAAGCGGGGACCGACGGGGGUGUCGUUCUCUUUCUCUCUGGGGAAGAUCAUUGAGAAAGAGCGGGCACACAGGGGCAGUGAACAGAGACAGCGCUGUGGGCCUCUUUUUUGGGGGGAUGGGAGGGGAGAGAGAGCUGGGUCAGCUGUAUGGGCCACUUAAUACCCAUGAACUUGCAAUUAAAUGCGGAAGUGAGAGACAAGAGGGGUGGUAAAAGGGGAUAUUGUUCCCAGCUCCUGAGAGGAGGGGGCUGGAGCCCUGGGGAAAUGGCCAGCCUCCAACAUGAAUGGGCUUCAGUGUCCUGGGGGGGGUCUGGGGGGAGCAGGGGGCCGUCAUUUGGCCCUUUGUCCUGCUCUGCUGGACU